Molecule: ribosomal RNA, 297 nt
Filed under: Chiliopsylla allophyla allophyla
Lineage: Eukaryota; Metazoa; Arthropoda; Insecta; Siphonaptera; Hystrichopsyllidae
Description: partial 12S ribosomal RNA
Source: RNAcentral
AUAUUACUAAAGUAGUAAAUUAAAAUUGAAACUUAAAGAAUUUGGCGGUAUUUUAAUCUAUUCAGAGGAACCUGUCCUUUAAUCGAUAUUCCACGUUAAAUUUUACUAAAUUAUUUAUAUAUCGUUGUCGAAAGAAUAAAUUUUCAAGAAUUUUUAUUUAAAUUUAUGUCAAAUCAAGGUGUAGUUAAUAAUUUAGUAGAGAUGGGUUACAAUAAAAGUAUUUAGGAUAUUAUUGAAGGUGGAUUUGAUAGUAAAUAAAUUUUAAUAUAAUUUAUUGAUAUUAGUUCUAAAAUAUGU